AAAGGAAUUGACGGGGGCCCGCACAAGCGGUGGAGCAUGUGGUUUAAUUCGAUGCUACGCGAAAAACCUUACCUAGACUUGACAUCCUGUGCUACCCUGUGAAAGCAGGGGUUCCCGCAAGGGACGCAGUGACAGGUGCUGCAUGGCUGUCGUCAGCUCGUGUUGUGAGAUGUUGGGUUAAGUCCCGCAACGAGCGCAACCCUCGCCGUUAGUUACCAUCAUUAAGUUGGGCACUCUAACGGAACCGCUUGGCUAUAAGCCAGAGGAAGGUGGGGAUGACGUCAAGUCCUCAUGGCCUUUAUGUCUAGGGCUACACACGUGCUACAAUGGGAAGGACAAAGCGCUGCUACUUCGCGAGAAGAUGCUAAUCGCAAAAACCUUUCCUCAGUUCGGAUUGGAGUCUGCAACUCGACUCCAUGAAGCUGGAAUCGCUAGUAAUCGUGGAUCAGCACGCCACGGUGAAUACGUUCCCGGGCCUUGUACACACCGCCCGU
Molecule: ribosomal RNA, 494 nt
Filed under: uncultured bacterium
Lineage: Bacteria
Description: bacterial SSU rRNA
Rfam family: Bacterial small subunit ribosomal RNA
Source: RNAcentral